AAAUGCAGCUGGCCAUGUAGCUGAGAAAGUGCAAGGUCCUCCACCCUGAAGGCUUUCCUCCUGGUGGAAAUCUUAAAGGACCAGCUUUACUUCAACAAUACUGACACUGAUUGAAGACUACGUUCACAAAGGCUGAACAUCUUACAGAUAACUUCACCAGAGCAACAUUUAUACAUUUUUCUUUGCAUCUUGGAGAACCUGCCACAGAUCUUCUAGAGACUAUGACUCAUAAUUGCUUCUGUUUCUGCAGGAUUGAUUAGACCAGUGUGUUGGUUUACCUUAAAAUACCAGAAAAUGUAAUGGAUACAGGGACAACCUUUUAUAGCCGAGGUGGGAAUGAUAAAAAUUCUCUGCAAACACUAAAGAAACUGUCUGGAUGCCUAUAUAAGCUGUCGACUUGAAAUUUCUGUUUCCCCAAGUACCAAGAACACUGAA
Ictalurus punctatus (channel catfish) is the source of this 435-nucleotide long non-coding RNA. The record is from Ensembl. Lineage: Eukaryota; Metazoa; Chordata; Actinopteri; Siluriformes; Ictaluridae.